GACAGAGGGUGCAAACGUUGUUCGGAAUUACUGGGCGUAAAGCGCGUGUAGGCUGCUUCGAAAGUCGGGUGUGAAAGCCCCGGGCUCAACCUGGGAAGUGCACUCGAAACUUCGGAGCUCGAGUCCUGGAGAGGAAGGCGGAAUUCUCGGUGUAGAGGUGAAAUUCGUAGAUAUCGAGAGGAACACCGGUGGCGAAGGCGGCCUUCUGGACAGUGACUGACGCUGAGACGCGAAAGCGUGGGGAGCAAACAGG
Molecule: ribosomal RNA, 253 nt
Filed under: uncultured bacterium
Lineage: Bacteria
Description: partial 16S ribosomal RNA
Rfam family: Bacterial small subunit ribosomal RNA
Source: RNAcentral